AUGCUGGGAUUACCAAGACAAGAGUAUGUGAGUUCACAACAACAAAUUGCAGAUUACUUGACUAAAGGACUGGGAACUAGAAAAUCCAGUUCAGCGUGUGACAAGAUGGGAAUGACAUAUAUCUAUCCCUUCUUGAGGGGGGGUGUUGUAAGUGUGGCCCAUCCUGUUGGCCCAUGUGGCCCAGGCCCAUCCGUGACUGACCUAAAGGGGAUGUGUUCAUCCCUGUUAUCCCCGAGCGCUGCAAUACGAGAGAAAGCAUAUGCUGCUGCUGGUACGUCUCUCUCUCAUCCCUACAUAUAG
RNAcentral lists this ribosomal RNA (300 nucleotides) under Triticum aestivum (bread wheat). RNAcentral describes it as "partial small subunit ribosomal RNA". Lineage: Eukaryota; Viridiplantae; Streptophyta; Magnoliopsida; Poales; Poaceae. The record is from RNAcentral.